AGUAUACAUGUGAUUUAACUGUCAAAGCCGGAAUGUUUAAAGCAUACAUCCCGCCCAAGGCAUGCUGGGAUGAUCUCCUAUCAGGCAGCUUGGAAACUUCCAGACGCCGAUAUGCCUUACGUUCGGUGCAGCCGAGGUUAUGAACUGUCAAGUGGAAUAUGCCCCUUGAGGAAAACAAUUAGGAUCGACUGUCCAGCGAGGAGAUUGCGGAAUCAGCAACUGACAUAUUGACUGAUGCAACAUGAUGGUGCGUGCAGCAAGAGAGGGUUUGAC
Long non-coding RNA from Rhipicephalus sanguineus (brown dog tick), 273 nucleotides. RefSeq lists it as uncharacterized. NCBI's taxonomy places the organism in Eukaryota, Metazoa, Arthropoda, Arachnida, Ixodida, Ixodidae. The transcript has 3 exons. The record is from RefSeq and is a predicted model, not a curated record.